GGAGAAUUAGGUUAAGUUGAUUAAUUACAGUAGAGAUUUCAUAAGGUGUGGGGAUGAUGAUGAGAGAUGGUGCAGAGGGAACAGAACAGAUUCCUUGCUUGCUUUGGUUUUUCUUUCAUAAAGGAGGGUAAUACAUGCAGUGCAUUACAAGUAAAGAUGCCAUGAAAUAUCACCAACAAAACUGAACAAACAAUAGCAUUAGAAGACACCAAAACAAACAACUUGAAGCGUGGACAGAUCCUUAUGCUGUUUCAAGAGAAAGGAGACGUGUGACUUGUUAAUAGUCCAGCCAGAAUAGGACAAUGAAUGCAGUAAUAAAAAACUGUUGAUCUACAGGAUACGGAUACUUACAAAAUUGAGGUCAUAAUCUUUAAUGGCUAGAAACGGA
Long non-coding RNA from Dendrobium catenatum, 388 nucleotides. RefSeq lists it as uncharacterized. The transcript is spliced from 3 exons. The record is from RefSeq and is a predicted model, not a curated record. Lineage: Eukaryota; Viridiplantae; Streptophyta; Magnoliopsida; Asparagales; Orchidaceae.